This 684-nucleotide ribosomal RNA is filed under the name Pontimonas salivibrio. Its description in RNAcentral is "bacterial SSU rRNA". It matches the Rfam family "Bacterial small subunit ribosomal RNA", at positions 98 to 796 of the family's 1533-position model. Lineage: Bacteria; Bacillati; Actinomycetota; Actinomycetes; Micrococcales; Microbacteriaceae. The record is from RNAcentral.
GCGAACGGGUGAGUAACACGUGAGCAAUCUGCCCUGGACUCUGGGAUAACCCCGAGAAAUCGGAGCUAAUACCGGAUACGACACCUCCCGGCAUCGGGUGGGUGUGGAAAGAAUUUCGGUCCAGGAUGAGCUCGCGGCCUAUCAACUUGUUGGUGAGGUAACGGCUCACCAAGGCGACGACGGGUAGCCGGCCUGAGAGGGUGACCGGCCACACUGGGACUGAGACACGGCCCAGACUCCUACGGGAGGCAGCAGUGGGGAAUAUUGCACAAUGGGCGCAAGCCUGAUGCAGCAACGCCGCGUGGGGGACGACGGCCUUCGGGUUGUAAACCUCUUUUAGCAGGGAAGAAGCGCAAGUGACGGUACCUGCAGAAAAAGCACCGGCUAACUACGUGCCAGCAGCCGCGGUAAUACGUAGGGUGCAAGCGUUGUCCGGAAUUAUUGGGCGUAAAGAGCUCGUAGGCGGUUUGUCGCGUCUGCUGUGAAAAUCCGAGGCUCAACCUCGGACCUGCAGUGGGUACGGGCAAACUAGAGUGCGGUAGGGGAGAUUGGAAUUCCUGGUGUAGCGGUGGAAUGCGCAGAUAUCAGGAGGAACACCAAUGGCGAAGGCAGAUCUCUGGGCCGUAACUGACGCUGAGGAGCGAAAGCGUGGGGAGCGAACAGGAUUAGAUACCCUGGUAGUCC